ACUCAAAUGAAUAGACGGGGACCCGCACAAGCGGUGGAUGAUGUGGUUUAAUUCGAUGCUACGCGAAGAACCUUACCAAGGCUUGACAUCCUGUGAAUCCGUUGGAAACAAUGGAGUGCCUUUUAGGAGCACAGUGACAGGUGUUGCAUGGCCGUCGUCAGCUCGUGUCGUGAGAUGUUGGGUUAAGUCCCGCAACGAGCGCAACCCUUAUCGUCUGUUACAAUUUCAGGCGAGACUGCCCGGGCCAACCGGGAGGAAGGUGGGGUCGAAGUCAGGUCAGCAUGGCCCUUACGCCUUGGGCUACACACGUCAUACAAUGGCCGGUACAACGCGACGCCAACCCGCGAGGGGGAGCUAAUCGCACCAAAACCGGUCCCAGUUCGGAUUGAAGGCUGAAACUCGCCUCCAUGAAGUCGGAAUCGCUAGUAAACGUGGGUCAGCAUACCACGUUGAAUACGUUCCCGGGUCUUGUACACACCGCCCGU
This 485-nucleotide ribosomal RNA is filed under the name uncultured bacterium. Its description in RNAcentral is "partial 16S ribosomal RNA". It matches the Rfam family "Bacterial small subunit ribosomal RNA", at positions 899 to 1397 of the family's 1533-position model. The record is from RNAcentral.